UCGAGAAUUUUUCACAAUGGGGGAAACCCUGAUGGAGCGACGCCGCGUGGGGGAUGAAGGGCUUCGGCUCGUAAACCCCUGUCAGCCGCGAACAAUGCUUACGACCUAACACGUCGUGAGUUGAUUGUAGUGGCAGAGGAAGGGACGGCUAACUCUGUGCCAGCAGCCGCGGUAAUACAGAGGUCCCGAGCGUUGUUCGGAUUUACUGGGCGUAAAGGGUGCGUAGGUGGUCGGGUAAGUCUCAUGUGAAAUCCCGCAGCUUAACUGCGGAACGGCAUGGGAUACUAUUCGGCUCGAGGAUUGGAGGGGGGACUGGAAUUCCCGGUGUAGCAGUGAAAUGCGUAGAUAUCGGGAGGAACACCAGUGGCGAAGGCGAGUCCCUGGACAAUUCCUGACGCUGAGGCACGAAAGCCAGGGGAGCAAACAG
RNAcentral lists this ribosomal RNA (427 nucleotides) under uncultured bacterium. RNAcentral describes it as "bacterial SSU rRNA". It matches the Rfam family "Bacterial small subunit ribosomal RNA", at positions 355 to 775 of the family's 1533-position model. The record is from RNAcentral.